This 712-nucleotide ribosomal RNA is filed under the name uncultured bacterium. RNAcentral's name for it is "bacterial SSU rRNA". It matches the Rfam family "Bacterial small subunit ribosomal RNA", at positions 94 to 823 of the family's 1533-position model. The record is from RNAcentral.
AGUGGCGGACGGGUGAGUAACGCGUGAGCAACCUGCCCUUCAGAGGGGGAUAGCGUUUGGGAACGAACGGUAAUACCGCAUAACGUAUUUUAACCGCAUGAUUGAAAUACCAAAACUACGGUGCUGAAGGAUGGGCUCGCGUUGGAUUAGAUAGUUGGUGGGGUAACGGCCUACCAAGUCGACGAUCCAUAGCCGGACUGAGAGGUUGAACGGCCACAUUGGGACUGAGACACGGCCCAGACUCCUACGGGAGGCAGCAGUGGGGAAUAUUGCACAAUGGGGGAAACCCUGAUGCAGCAACGCCGCGUGAAGGAAGACGGUUUUCGGAUUGUAAACUUCUGUUCUUAGUGAAGAAAAAUGACGGUAGCUAAGGAGCAAGCCACGGCUAACUACGUGCCAGCAGCCGCGGUAAUACGUAGGUGGCAAGCGUUGUCCGGAAUUACUGGGUGUAAAGGGAGCGCAGGCGGGGAAUCAAGUCAGCUGUGAAAACUACGGGCUUAACUUGUAGACUGCAGUUGAAACUGGUUUUCUUGAGUGAAGUAGAGGUUGGCGGAAUUCCGAGUGUAGCGGUGAAAUGCGUAGAUAUUCGGAGGAACACCGGUGGCGAAGGCGGCCAACUGGGCUUUAACUGACGCUGAGGCUCGAAAGUGUGGGGAGCAAACAGGAUUAGAUACCCUGGUAGUCCACACUGUAAACGAUGAUUGCUAGGUGU